This 253-nucleotide ribosomal RNA is filed under the name uncultured bacterium. RNAcentral describes it as "partial 16S ribosomal RNA". It matches the Rfam family "Bacterial small subunit ribosomal RNA", at positions 524 to 776 of the family's 1533-position model. The record is from RNAcentral.
UACGUAGGGGGCGAGCGUUAUCCGGAUUCACUGGGUGUAAAGGGAGCGUAGACGGCCAUGCAAGCCAGGGGUGAAAGCCCGGGGCCCAACCCCGGGACUGCCCUUGGAACUGCAUGGCUGGAGUGCGGGAGGGGCAGGCGGAAUUCCUGGUGUAGCGGUGAAAUGCGUAGAUAUCAGGAGGAACACCGGCGGCGAAGGCGGCCUGCUGGACUGCGACUGACGUUGAGACUCGAAAGCGUGGGGAGCGAACAGG